CCGCAAUGGGCGCAAGCCUGACGGAGCAACGCCGCGUGGGUGACGAAGGAUUUCGGUCUGUAAAGCCCUUUCAGUCGGGACGAGUCGCAGACGGUACCGACAGAAGAAGCAUCGGCUAACUACGUGCCAGCAGCCGCGGUAAGACGUAGGAUGCGAGCGUUGUCCGGAAUUAUUGGGCGUAAAGCGUACGUAGGCGGUCAUCUAAGUCUGGGGUUAAAGACCAAGGCUCAACCUUGGGAGUGCCCUGGAUACUGGGUGACUGGAGGACGGCAGAGGAAAGUGGAAUUCCCAGUGUAGCGGUGAAAUGCGUAGAUAUUGGGAGGAACACCAGUGGCGAAAGCGACUUUCUGGGCCGUUCCUGACGCUGAGGUAGCGAAAGCCAGGGGAGCAAACGGGAUUAGAUACCCCGGUAGUCCUGGCCGUAAACGAUGGAUACUAGGUGUCAUCGGUAUCAACCCCGGUGGUGCCGUAGCUAACGCGUUAAGUAUCCCGCCGGGGGAGUACGGUCGCAAGGCUGAAACUCAA
Molecule: ribosomal RNA, 525 nt
Filed under: uncultured Bacillota bacterium
Lineage: Bacteria; Bacillati; Bacillota
Description: bacterial SSU rRNA
Rfam family: Bacterial small subunit ribosomal RNA
Source: RNAcentral